RNAcentral lists this non-coding RNA (960 nucleotides) under Peltocephalus dumerilianus (big-headed amazon river turtle). RNAcentral's name for it is "12S rRNA". It matches the Rfam family "Bacterial small subunit ribosomal RNA". Lineage: Eukaryota; Metazoa; Chordata; Testudines; Podocnemididae. The record is from RNAcentral.
AAAGAUUUAGUCCUAGUCUUACUGUUACUUCUUACUGAAUCUACACAUGCAAGUCUCCGCACACCAGUGAGGAACGCCAAAAUCACUUCAAAGUGAUUUUAGAGCCGGUAUCAGGCACACCAAUAGUAGCCCAAGACGCCCAGCACAGCCACACCCACAAGGGUACUCAGCAGUGAUAAACAUUAAGCAAUAAGUGAAAGCUUGACUUACUUACAGUAAAUACAGGGCUGGUAAACCUUGUGCCAGCCACCGCGGUUAUACAAGGAGCCCGAAACAACAGUCAAUCGGCGUAAAAUGUGGCUAGGGACUAUCCAAAAAACCUAAGGUAAACCUAUAGACCUCUUAGUCAAAUAAUCGAGUCCAACGAUACCACAGUGUGAAAACAACCUUAUCUCAAAGGAUUUCUUGAACCCACGAUAGCUAAGACACAAACUGGGAUUAGAUACCCCACUAUGCUUAGCCCUAAACAUUGAUAUCUAUUUACAUAGACAUCCGCCAGAGAACUACGAGCAACCGCUUGAAACUCAAAGGACUUGGCGGUGUCUUAAACCCAUCUAGAGGAGCCUGUUCUAUAAGCGACAACACACGAUAAACCUUACCACCUCUCGCCAUCAGCCUAUAUACCGCCGCCGCCAGCCUACCUUGUGAAAGCACAUAAGUAAGCGAAAUAGUAUAAACCACUAAUAAGUCAGGUCCAGGUGUAGCCAAUGAGGUGGCAGAAAUGGGCUACAUUUUCUAAAAUAGAAAUAUUUAACGGAGAGACUCCUGAAAUAAGAUCUCUAAAGCAGGAUUUAGCAGUAAUUUUGGAAUAGAGAGCCAAAAUGAAACAGGCAAUGAGACACGUACAUACCGCCCGUCACCCUCCUCGAAAAACAAACCAAACUAAAUAAAACGCUACACAAAUAGAGAGGAGGCAAGUCGUAACAAGGUAAGUGUACCGGAAGGUGUACUUGGAAUAAG